This 468-nucleotide ribosomal RNA is filed under the name uncultured bacterium. Its description in RNAcentral is "partial 16S ribosomal RNA". It matches the Rfam family "Bacterial small subunit ribosomal RNA", at positions 28 to 507 of the family's 1533-position model. The record is from RNAcentral.
GACGAACGCUGGCGGCGUGCUUAACACAUGCAAGUCGAACGGAAAGGCCCUGCUUUUGUGGGGUGCUCGAGUGGCGAACGGGUGAGUAACACGUGAGUAACCUGCCCUUGACUUUGGGAUAACUUCAGGAAACUGGGGCUAAUACCGGAUAGGAGCUCCUGCUGCAUGGUGUGGGUUGGAAAGUUUCGGCGGUUGGGGAUGGACUCGCGGCUUAUCAGCUUGUUGGUGGGGUAGUGGCUUACCAAGGCUUUGACGGGUAGCCGGCCUGAGAGGGUGACCGGCCACAUGGGGACUGAGAUACGGCCCAGACUCCUACGGGAGGCAGCAGUGGGGAAUAUUGCACAAUGGGCGGAAGCCUGAUGCAGCAACGCCGCGUGCGGGAUGACGGCCUUCGGGUUGUAAACCGCUUUCGACUGUGACGAAGCGUGAGUGACGGUAAUGGGUAAAGAAGCACCGGCUAACUACGUG